AGUUUUGUUGGUUAGAGCAUCUGACUGUUAAUCAGAGGGUCCUUGGUUCGAGCCCAAGAGGGG
This 63-nucleotide transfer RNA is filed under the name Flavobacteriaceae bacterium. RNAcentral describes it as "tRNA-Asn". It matches the Rfam family "tRNA", at positions 9 to 63 of the family's 71-position model. From Rfam's summary of the family: Transfer RNA (tRNA) molecules are approximately 80 nucleotides in length. Their secondary structure includes four short double-helical elements and three loops (D, anti-codon, and T loops). The record is from RNAcentral. Lineage: Bacteria; Pseudomonadati; Bacteroidota; Flavobacteriia; Flavobacteriales; Flavobacteriaceae.